This 681-nucleotide long non-coding RNA is filed under the name Fukomys damarensis (Damara mole-rat). RNAcentral's name for it is "lncRNA (ENSFDAG00000023740.1)". The record is from RNAcentral. Lineage: Eukaryota; Metazoa; Chordata; Mammalia; Rodentia; Bathyergidae.
GACUUAUUUUCUCAUUAUACAAAAAUAUUCAUUCCCUUAUCUAAUUUUAUGUUAUUUUUCUUUUAAAGGGAAAAAUUGUAAAAGUUUCAGUCCUGUGGAAGCUAUUUCAACCCCUGCAUUUCCCUUACAUGCAGAUGACAGAUGAAUUUGCUCGUUUCUCAGUGACAGAUGAGUUUGUUGCUCUUGUCACUUCCCCAGUCCAACUGUCAUCUCGAAUCUGUCAAGUGAGAAGUUCCAGACACAUUCCUGUCACUCCUUGGAUGUUCUAAUGCAAUAGGUCCAUGAAAGGCCUAGGCAUCUGCCCUAUUGCAAAGUUCUACAAGUAAUUUGAUGUUCAAUCCAGGCUGAAAGCCACCCCCUGUGACAUCAGGUGUGCUACACUGGGGGCGAGUGCUUUUCAAAGGCUGUCACUUCCGAUGAGUUGUGAAGCCCAUCCACUGAGCGUGCUCAGCAUCCUUUUAGCAGAAGCAAGUAGGAGAGCGUGUACCACAGCUCUAUGCUGUGGUUGUAAGAUUCCAAGCAUCAAUGUCAAGGACACCAGAGACAGUGUUGUAAUGGAGAAGAGCCACCAGCCAGAGGUCAGCUGCCCAGAUGACAACCCAGUAUUGUACGUUUUGGCUGUGUGAACCUGGCCUCAGUUGUUUCCCCGUCUGUAUGUGAAGAUACAUAUAUAUGUAGAAC